CCCAUCUCCACUUCACUAUGGCAGUCUCUUACCAGUCCAGUGCUGACUGGUGUGCUCGGAGAAUGUCUAACCAGUGUCUCCAGCUUCAGGUGAUAUUUAAAAAGUCCCAAUUGUCUCAGCUUGGGCUACAAUAGUGUGGUCCUGUGAGGGAGCAGGCUCUGAGAAGGAGCCCCUGGAGUGGCCAAUCUAGGACGCCUGUCUUCCUCCUAGUCUAUGGUGAUCACAGAGGAGUCCCAGGUGUUGGGAAAGACUGCAUUGGGCACACAGCCCAGCUCAGAACUGCUUGGCUGGGACAUUUUCCUGACAUGCGCCUUAGAGCCUGGGUAUAGGGAGAACUGAGGCUCCAGACCCAGCCUCUAAGUCACUACCAAGAUUCCCCAGCUGACGUCCACUUCCUUCCACCACUGUGGACACAGCUCAGGAAGGCCUCAGGGCAGCAGGCUGGCUCUCCCCACUACAACUCGACCCUGCUGAGGACAUCCGUGUGGUUCUGGGAGAAGAUUUGACUCUCCUGAGCUAGAGACUGUUCCAGCAGGUCGUCUGAGCCCCAGUAUCACCCACUUACUUCCCCACUGUUGUUGCAGGGUCUACUGAAGGGGCUUCUUGUGAAACCAGGACGCUCUGGGCUUCGGAACCAGCAGCCUGCUGUUCAGGUUUAGGCCGCUGAACAGCAAUUGAUCUGCAGGGGGUGGUCCUUGGGAGAAUUCAUGGAGAAAAAUCCACCCUUAAUCAUGCUAUUUAUAAUUCCUUCAUAUGCUUCGAGGAGGACUCAGGACAAUGAGGAGCUCAGCCCAUCCUCCCCAGGGAGGUCCUUGCUUUAUAAGCUCACUUGUCAUUGUGUUUUGAAGCCCAUGGAUUUGUACGGCAUGUAACUGACCGAGGGACCUUGGCAGCUUUACAGAGGAGCGCCGAUCUCUGUCUUAUCCGUCCGCCAGGCAGUCAACGGGCCCUGCCUUCAGUACCAUCAAGGACUGGGGACUCUGUCUCCCUUUCCGGUUGAAAGAAAAGGCUGUCCUGACCCCACCUGGCCUUUCCUACAGUCCUCGUGAUGAGCUGGAGCCCACACUCUGGGGUCCUUAACCCCCACCACCCAAACCAUAAUUUCUUCCUUUAUCUAAGGCAAACCACAGACCCCUUCCCUCACGGGUGUUACCCCGUCUCUGCCAACCACCCUCCUCCUUUGUUCUAACUUAUUCACGGGACAUGAGUUGUGGCUCAUUUGGAGCCUCUGGGAUCGCCUCAGGUGACUCAGCUUUUGUUUCCGUGUAACCUACCUUUGGGCUGUCUUCCUGUAUGCUCCGUGGGUUAUAGCCCCCAUACUCUACUGUCCAUAGAUAGCUGCUGGUGGUAUAAAGGUGAG
This 1360-nucleotide long non-coding RNA is filed under the name Mus caroli (Ryukyu mouse). RNAcentral describes it as "lncRNA (MGP_CAROLIEiJ_G0004434.1)". Lineage: Eukaryota; Metazoa; Chordata; Mammalia; Rodentia; Muridae. The record is from RNAcentral.